This 429-nucleotide ribosomal RNA is filed under the name Bacillota bacterium. Its description in RNAcentral is "Firmicutes bacterium partial 16S ribosomal RNA". It matches the Rfam family "Bacterial small subunit ribosomal RNA", at positions 355 to 776 of the family's 1533-position model. The record is from RNAcentral. Lineage: Bacteria; Bacillati; Bacillota.
UGGGGAAUUUUGGACAAUGGGCGAAAGCCUGAUCCAGCAAUGCCGCGUGUGUGAAGAAGGCCUUCGGGUUGUAAAGCACUUUUGUCCGGAAAGAAAUGGCUCUGGUUAAUACCUGGGGUCGAUGACGGUACCGGAAGAAUAAGGACCGGCUAACUACGUGCCAGCAGCCGCGGUAAUACGUAGGGUCCAAGCGUUAAUCGGAAUUACUGGGCGUAAAGCGUGCGCAGGCGGUUGUGCAAGACCGAUGUGAAAUCCCCGAGCUUAACUUGGGAAUUGCAUUGGUGACUGCACGGCUAGAGUGUGUCAGGGGGGGGUAGAAUUCCACGUGUAGCAGUGAAAUGCGUAGAGAUGUGGAGGAAUACCGAUGGCGAAGGCAGCCCCCUGGGAUAACACUGACGCUCAUGCACGAAAGCGUGGGGAGCAAACAGG